Molecule: ribosomal RNA, 870 nt
Filed under: Lampyris noctiluca
Lineage: Eukaryota; Metazoa; Arthropoda; Insecta; Coleoptera; Lampyridae
Description: SSU rRNA
Rfam family: Eukaryotic small subunit ribosomal RNA
Source: RNAcentral
CUCCCGGCACGGGGAGGUAGUGACGAAAAAUAACGAUACGGGACUCAUCCGAGGCCCCGUGAUCGGAAUGAGCACACUUUAAAUCCUUUAACGAGGAUCAAUUGGAGGGCAAGUCUGGUGCCAGCAGCCGCGGUAAUUCCAGCUCCAAUAGCGUAUAUUAAAGUUGCUGCGGUUAAAAAGCUCGUAGUCGAAAUUGUGUCCUCGGCCGCCGGUUCGUCGCUCGCGACGCCAACUGGCGCGCACGCUGGACGUCCAGCCGGUACUACGAACUCGCCUACGGGGUGCUCUUAACCGAGUGUCCAGGCGGGGGCCGGCAACGUUACUUUGAACAAAUUAAAGUGCUUAAAGCAGGCUAAAUUGCGCUCGCAUACACGCGCAUGGAAUAAUCGAAUAGGACCUCCGUUCUAUUUUGUUGGGUUUUUGUGGAACGACAGACGGAGGUAAUGAUCAAUGGGUGCGGAUGGGGGCAUUCGUAUUGCGACGUUAGAGGUGAAAUUCUUGGACCGUCGCAAGACGGACUUAAGCGAAAGCAUUUGCCAAAAACGCUUUCAUCGAUCAAGAACGAAAGUUAGAGGUUCGAAGGCGAUCAGAUACCGCCCUAGUUCUAACCAUAAACUAUGCCAGCUAGCGAUCCGCCGACGUUACUUCUAUGACUCGGCGGGCAGCUUCCGGGAAACCAAAGCUUUCGGGUUCCGGGGGAAGUAUGGUUGCAAAGCUGAAACUUAAAGGAAUUGACGGAAGGGCACCACCAGGAGUGGAGCCUGCGGCUUAAUUUGACUCAACACGGGAAACCUCACCAGGCCCGGACACCGGAAGGAUUGACAGAUUGAGAGCUCUUUCUUGAUUCGGUGGGUGGUGGUGCAUGGCCGU